RNAcentral lists this ribosomal RNA (253 nucleotides) under uncultured bacterium. RNAcentral describes it as "partial 16S ribosomal RNA". It matches the Rfam family "Bacterial small subunit ribosomal RNA", at positions 524 to 776 of the family's 1533-position model. The record is from RNAcentral.
UACAGAGGUCCCGAGCGUUGUUUGGAUUCACUGGGCGUAAAGGGUGCGUAGGCGGUGAGGUAAGUCGGAUGUGAAAGCUCGGAGCUCAACUCCGAAAUGGCAUUGGAAACUACCUUGCUCGAGGGUCGGAGGGGGGACUGGAAUACUUGGUGUAGCAGUGAAAUGCGUAGAUAUCAAGUGGAACACCAGUGGCGAAGGCGAGUCCCUGGACGACUCCUGACACUGAGGCACGAAAGCUAGGGGAGCAAACAGG